UUACAAGUGCUACCCUCCCCCGCAUCUGUCAACACCAAAGUAACUGCGGAAUAGCCAACAAAAUAGGAACUCCGACUUUGCCCUGCCAUGAGAAUACAGAACAGAUGUCUCCGUGUGUCUUACAUCCAGCAGCACAAUAUGCAACCGCCCUUUGACUAAAUGUGGCUGGGUGGGGUGUGGACAACACCUAUCAGGACCCCCAGACUUGGAAUCAGACACCAACACUUUCUCAGCAAGGACACCGGCCUUCAACGGUGGUCUUGGGAGCUUCAGAUAUUCACUCAUCAAGUCACUGAGUGUGCACCAGAAGGAGAGAAAAUCAUCUUUCCGAAAAGUUCAUGGUCCCUGUGUUGCUGAGAGACACGGAUUCAGAGCGGAAACAGAGCACGUUCCCAGGCCAAGAGCUUGCUGCUUGAACGCGCUAGAAUUCACACAAGCCCAGCGGGGCAGACGCGCUCUCCUCUUUGGCUGGCUGUAGGGUCGGGCCCCGGAAAGCUACCUCCAGUAUACGACUGUGGCCUCUGUGCAGUCCCGGGGACAGGCAUCGCAAAGGGCCCGUUCAUGUUAACUUUCAUCCACA
Mesocricetus auratus (golden hamster) is the source of this 580-nucleotide long non-coding RNA. RefSeq lists it as uncharacterized. Lineage: Eukaryota; Metazoa; Chordata; Mammalia; Rodentia; Cricetidae. The transcript is spliced from 3 exons. The record is from RefSeq and is a predicted model, not a curated record.